UGUUAAAAAUUUCAUCCAGUUCUAUUGCUAAAAACUGACAUUACUAACGAAAUAACCAAACAAUUUCACUAGGCAUGCUAUGUGUAUCUCAUUUAGACAUAUAGGGACUAAUUUUAAUAGUAGAAAUAGAUAGAAUUUUUAACA
Non-coding RNA from Gossypium raimondii (Peruvian cotton), 144 nucleotides. NCBI's taxonomy places the organism in Eukaryota, Viridiplantae, Streptophyta, Magnoliopsida, Malvales, Malvaceae. The record is from Rfam.